ACAAUCCAUGUAUAUUUGAUGACGCAACAUUCGUAUUCGAUAAUGUUUUAAUAGUGAGUCAUUACUCAAUCGAGUAAUAUAUUUGUGACCAACUAUUUAUUUAUUAAUGUAAUUAUAAUGAUUAGUAACAUAUAUAUUUUGUUUGAUGAUUUAAACUCUUUUAACCAAGAAAAAAGACUUUUAAUAGUCAUUCGUGAAAAUAUAUUAUACACACACACACAUAUAAAUAUUUCAUAUUUGUUGCAACUAUAUUUCAUACACAAGUGAGAAAUGAUCUAUAUAUACUCCAGUUUAUUUGUUGACGCUUCCUCUUGCAAUUUUUAUGCUGAUAAGUUGAAAAAUAUUUGACAUGUAACAAAUAUGUAUAUUUUUGGCAAAUAUAUUUUUCAUACACAAGUGAUAGAAUGAGUGAUACUAAAUAAAUGAAUUAUUGCUACGCACUAUACUAGCUUCUGUACCAGAUUCUUCAUUUUAUGAAAAUUAGCGAGGCGGGGCACGAAUUAAAGUAUGUAUAUAUAUAAAUUAAUUUUAAUUUGAAUUAUUUUAGAAAUAAAAAUUAAUAAUAAUCAACUCUACAUAUUGGUAACAUCUUUAGGGGUAUUUUAGACAUUUUGACCCAAAAAAAAUGCUUAACAACACUUGUUUACCAAACACAUCAACAAUUUUUUUUCAGUUUCAGCACUUUUAUCUAAACACGCAACUGCUUAUUUUUAAAAUAAGUUUCAGCACUUUCAAAAACAUUUUUUAGGAGCCAUUUUGUUUCGGCCUAUCCAAACGGGCUCCAAUAAUCUGCAAAAUUAAAAGCAAAUCAUAUUACAAAUAUUGAUCUAAUGAUUCUGACAUGAAGAUAGAAGAGAGAAAGCCAAACGAAAACUGUGGGUUAAUCUUGUUUUAUUAUACCAUUCCUCUUUUAGUAAAUCAGAAGAAACCGAGUUUGAUACAUUCCACAAAAGUGGAGAAAUAAAAAAUUAGGAUAGAAGAUUAGUAGGUAAGUAGUCGAGUGCUUUGCCUUCCAUUUCUCGGAGUAUGAAUUUCGAUUAUCAUUUGAUUAUUUCACCUCAAUUAUUUGAUCUUUUUGUUGCUCUUACUUACUAGGUCGUCUUUUUCGUAUGUUUUUGAGCAGAGAGUCUACCAACAACAAUCUCUCUAUCUUUGCAAGAUAAGGGUAAAAUUGGCAUACCUAGACCCUCCUUAUACCACAGAGUAACAAUCUCUCUAUCUUUGCAAGAUAAGCAUCAAAUCUGCAUAUCCACACCCUCUUUAUACCCCACUUGUAAAAUUAAACUGAAUUCUGAACUUUUGAUGUUGAAGUUCGACACACAUUUUCUCUCCUCUCAUUUCAGUUUAUCUACGUACGUUUUUUUUCCCCAUUCAAUCAAAAAGAUCCCUAGGGGAAUUGGGUAAGAUGUUUUGCAUUUAUCUUCUUGCAAUAACUAAACAAAGAUAAAUGACAAAAUAUUGACAAGUGCCACAAAAUAAACUUGCCGCCAGGAAACCGCACCCUACAGAAAAGAGCACAACCUUAUUUGUGAAUUAGGCACUUCCCACAGAGAAGGAAACUAACAUUUCCGUCAAUAACUUCCUUUGAUACAAGAUCUUUUUUUUUUUAACCAUACCACACUCCAGAAUUUGUGAUCCGAAUUUUUUUCAUUCGACCUUAAAAAGUUCGCAGUGCGAUCCACGUUUGUGAUUUUUUGUGGGGCCUGUGGUGGUAGUAUAGGGAUCGAGCCGAGUAUGGACCUAUAUAUUUUUGGACUUAAAAUCUGUUUGUACACACGUAUUAUAUAUAAGUGCGUUUAGUGGGCUGUUUCGGUAGUUUCAUAUGCACGAAAUUGAGACUAUUGUCUACACCUUGUAUUCCUCUUCUUCAUAGUAAAUUUUCUCUAUUUCUGCCCGUGGUUUUUCCCGCAAGGAUUUCCACGUAAAAUCUGUGUGUUCUUGUUUUGUUUGUGGUUUGCUUUUUCUGUCCAAUCAUAACACCAACACAAAAACCAAACCACACAAUGAGAAAAAAAGAAGAAAAAACUCCGCACAUUAUCUAGAAUUCUACCAUGGCGUUGGAUCCUUAAUUUUUUUAUGGAUUCUUUUUGAUAUCAAGGUUGCUAAUCCGACGAUCUUUUCUGUUUAUACAACAUUGAUCACACAGAAGUACACUUUGAAUAAAAUAUUAGGAGCGUCCGAAACAACGUCUUAGGGAAAAGAAAUGGUGAGGACGAGGCGAGACCUCAGGCUUAGGCUCAAGUGAUUCUCGAGGGAAAUGUUUAUAGAAUGCUUUCACAGCUCCAGUCACUCCAUCCUCAUGUUCCAUGGCUUUUGCUAGUUCUACAGCACGUUCUUUUACCUGCACCAUCACAAAAGUAAAUUAUCAAACAGUAUGUAUCGUCAUGAUGAUUUGCCAGCAGAAAAUGUGCACAUUGAUAAGAGCAGAUACCAUCAAGUUUCUUGCACUACAACCAAAAAAAAAAAAAGCAAACAAAUAUGGACAUCCCUCCAUACACACAAUAAAUAAAUAAACAUUACACUAGGAAGAAACUAGCUACCUUUGGAUCUAGCAUGAACCGGAUAGCAGCGACCAGCUUUUCAAGGGAGAACUCGUCCACAGGGAUGGGAGCAGGACCUACUCCCCUAGCAUGCACGCGUUCACCCCAAAAGGUUUGAUCGCCAAAGAAAGGUACCACAGUUGUUGGGCACUAAGAACAGCCAAAAUGUGAUCAUUCAGAAUAAGCCACUCAGACUACAUACGGGAAUAUCGUCAUGCAUGAAAUCAAAUAUUACAGCGGUUUUCAGUCCAGCAGCGGUUGUUCCAGCACCUCCAUGAUGCACCUGGAAGUAAACCAAAAAAUCCCCACAAAUCAGCUGCUGUUUAAUGAUCAAAAGGCUGAACAACUUUAUAUAAUAUGUUAUCGACUUACUACUUCAUCAAGUUGACGGAAGGUUAAAGUUGAUGCACAUAUGGCUUGCACAUGAUAUACAAAAUUUGUCCCAAUACAAAUCAUGCACUAUAUACAACAACAUACCCAAUGUAAUCCCACAAGUGGGAUCUGGGGUGGGCAGACCUUACCCCUACCAUUGUGGGAAAGAGGCAGUCCCCGAUAGAUCUUCGGCUCAUAGAAAUCUUAUCAGAAUUAAAAAGUAUCCGUGAUAUCAUUCAAUAACAUUGAAAUUCAUAUUCAAUUUUCCGAUCAAGUGUAGAUUAAUUUGUAUUCAAGUUGUUUCUUAUUUUCUCGUGUUCGGUAUGCAAGUGAAAAAUAAGUGUGGGGUAGGUGGUUGUGAGGCUAGGAGGAGACAAUGCCACUUGUUUUCCUUACUUUCAUUAAGUCAGUCAUUUUUUUUCCCUAAGGAUCUUGUUUUCUUAAAAACUAUAUUUUCCAAAAAUUUUAACCAAUUGAACAGGAGAAAAUAGGGUAUGUUUUCCUCCAUACUGAAGACACCCCAAGAUUCCAUAAGCCAACAUAAUAAGCAGAAUAACCUUUAAUUUGAAGCCAUGGGAAAAGAAGGAUAAGCUUUAAAUUAUAGGGUAGACGGCAAUUAGGAACUAAUCCAUGAAUUAAACUGGAUCAAUAAGUUAGUGGAUCACCCAAGUAGUCUCUUAAUUAAAGUAUGCUUGUGAUAUAUGUGAUACAAAGACCAGAAAAGGUGCGCAGAAUCACAAUUCACCAACUCAUAAAAUUUAUUUUAUAACCACAUCACUAAUCAUCAAUCCAGUAUCGAGUCCUGUAACAGUUUAAGAUGAAAAUGUUGGAAAGCGGAAGGACAUAUGCAAAUUUAGAUAAAGACAGGCCAAUAAACUGCGUGUAAAGAGGAUUUACCACAGCAGCACAUUGCAGGAAUAGCCAAUCGUGAGGGCAAUUAUCCAACAGGUACACAAAAUCCUUUGGUUCCUUCACUGAGAAAGGUGAUUCAGUCUUAGCAGUUUAUACAAUCAAUCAUAAACCUUGUGAACCGCAGUAGGUUGUACACAAUAUGUGGAAAAUAAAAAAUUAAAGUACUUACAGUUCCCAAGGCCACCCCAGCCUUUGUUAAUGAUACCUCUUUGUCCAGUCAUUUCUAGAGCCUGAACAAUUAUCUUGGUCAUUUUUUCAGGUUCUUGAACAGGCUGUGAAAAAACAAUCGUAAGAAAUUUGACACUAGAAGGCAAGUACAAUACUACAAAAGUCCAUAUAAAUUAGCAUAACACUUCAGUUAACUCUGAAUCCCAUGUUGGUAGACUCAUGAAUAGCAAGAAAGUAAUCAAUGGCGGUUAUUGUAACACAAGACUUAAAAAGGUACACAUGAUACUUAAAAGCUGACAUAAAUGAGUAUAAUACUUCAGUUGAUCUUGAAUCCCAUGUAGCUUAGACUCAUAGCAGCAAAAGGAAAUUAUUGGUGCUAAACUUACAAGACUUCCAAAGCCAAUAUAGAUAGGCUUUUCACCAUCUUCAAGCCAUUUGACGAGUGAUUCUCGGGGUUCAUAAUUGGAAGCAAGGUCUAGGAAGCAAAACCCCACCACGUCAAUUUUUGGGCCCCAAUCUGCAAAUCACCCAGUAGAAUAAACACUGUUACUCAGACAUCAUGUUCUGCUGCCAAUUCCCUCGGUAAUAAGAAAGGCGACAAUAUGAUACAAGGGCAACUCUUUAAUGACAAUGAAACAAUCAUGUUCAGAAGGAAAAUGGAGAAACCAAGAAGCUUUAUCUUCUAAUGAUAUUUACUUGCAGACCACUUAUUAAUCUUUGUGAUACAGCAUUCCAUCUUUAUCAAAAGGAAUAGCAGCAUGUUACACUCAGAGAUGCCCGCACUUGGUUUCUCCCGGAUUAAGUUUGCGAAGAAGGAAUAAAUAGCAAUUCUAAAAAUCUAAAACACUGGUUACUUGGCUGAUAAAAUAGGAUUUGAAGCUUAUAAACUAUGCUAAGUACAACAGCAUACAGAGAUUUUGAAGUAACAAUUUAGCAACUUAGAAGCUCCAAAGAAAAUUGAAGAUGGAAAAGGCAACAUCUACCUACGACAUAUGCACGAAGAACUAAAAGACAAACUAAAGAGUAGGAAAAUGGAGAAAUCUCCAACUUCUUCAUCAAAUUUCUUUAGUCAUGCACAAACCGAAAAAUUUGCAACUUAAUUUGGAAUAAUAUUAGAAAGUGAAUAAAAACUGCAUCAACAUAAAAGAAGCAAUUAUACGUGAAAGAAGACGACUAUUUCAGCUAUAUUAUCCUUUUCCAGUCUUCCCUUAUAUCAGCAAAGAUUUGAGUUAUUAUUAUUGUUAAACCAACCUUUCCAUUAGGCACUUCGGACAUUUGAAAUUUCCUCAUAACUCCAAUUUCUCCUUUUUGCUUAUUCCAAGCCUAAUAGCCUGCUUGGGAUUGCCUUUUUAAAAAAAAAAAACACUUUUUUUUGAGAAAAAAAUAAUUUUUUUAAAAGAAGGGUGUUUGGUAAACUUGCAAAAGUGCUUUUAAACAACAACAACAACAACAACAACAUACCCAGUGUACUCCCACAUAGUGGGGUCUGGGGAGGGUAGAGUAUACGCGAACCAUACCACUACCCCAGAUGAAGUAGAGAGGCUGUUUUCGAUAGACCCUCGUCAUAGGACCGAUAACAGUAUAGCAAUCACAAAACAUAAAUGCGUAUAGACUAGUAUAUAUAUACGUAUAUACAUAUAUAUAUAUAAUGACAUAUUUGUUACCAAGUGGUGAGUUUUUUAACAUGACCUGGUUGUUUGCAAUUUCCAUAGAUUGCAUCAGGUCUCCACCAACAAAAAUUCUCCAAGUGUGUCUUCUUUUUGCAGUGUCUGCAAGGAGGAUAAUUACCUUUUCCUUUUUUGUUUUGUGCAUAAAAGGCACUCUAAGUAACAUUGUCUUGUCUAAAAGCUCUUCUUUGUUCUUGUGCUUGAAGAACACUUAUUAGUUCUUCAACAGAAAUAGUAGAGAGAUCUUUAGACUCCUCCACAGAUGAGAUUUUAGACUCGAAUCUCUCCGGAAAUGUCACAAGAAUUUUUCUACUAUUUUGUCAUCUUUGAAAUCCUCGCCAAGUAACCUGAUUUUACUGACAAACAAAGAAAUCUUUUCAAAAUACUUAGCAAAAGUUUCAUCCUCUUGCAUUCUAAGAGAUUCAAAAUUUGCAUUUGUCUAACUCGAUCACUUCCUUGAUAUUCUUUUUUUAGCUUUUCCCAAGCUUCAUUUGCUGUCUCACAAGCAAUGAUUUUAGAAAAAAUAGAAUCCGCAACUGAAUUUUGAAUUACAAUUUUGGCUUUGAAUUUUUCGAGCUUUUCAUCUAAAUGAGAUUUAAUUUGAGCAACAGUAGGAUUUUCAGGGAGUGGUUGUAAUGGUGUAUCAUCUGCUACAACUUCCCACAGAUCAUAGGCUUGAAGAUAUGAUUUCAUUUUCACUGACCAAAUUUGGUAGUUUUCGCCAGUGAAAAUUUUUGGGGCAUUCAAUGAGAGACUGCUGCUUGACAUCUUUUUGGUUGAAAAUAGCCCUACGCUUUGAAAAUAAGUACGGGUUGAAAAUGGUAGCCCUGACGGGUUAAAAUGGAUAGCCCUGACAGGUUAAAAAGGUAGCCUUUAUGGGUUAAAAAGAUAGCCCUUGCGGGUUAAAAAUGGUAUGGUAGCGCUUUGGAAGAACACACAGAUCCUGUAAUAUCAAUGAGGCUCUUGAUACCACUAUUGUUUUUUUUAAAGAAAGAUGGGGUAGCGAAAAGGGGGUUAAAAUGACUCUCAAUGGAUUGAAUAACUUUCAAUAGCUUUCAAUAGUAUUCAAUGAUUUUAUUGAACAUCAAGGUGCUUUAAAUAGCCACCUUACAAUAGAAAAAUCAGCAACAUUCAAAAUUUAAACUAACUAAAAUAUCUCAACAAAUCAAACAACCUAACUUAAAUUCAAAAUUCAAAUUUAUCCUAAAUUACCUAACUUAUUUUGCUAAAAACUAGUGCAGUAACUUAAGCAAUUUCCAACAGAAAUCAGUCACUUCAGCAUAAGUCAUUGCAUUUCCUCCUAUUCUGUAUUCCCUUAUAAUAGAUAAUUAAAAUAAAAUUUCUCUAUAAAAUGAUUUUAGUAGUACAAGUCUAUUGAUACAUGUUUUUUUUGGUCAUUUAUCUCUCAAAAUCACCACUUCUUGAAAAAAAUUAUCCAAACACAAUCUGUUUAUCAAAAACACUUUUCAAAUAAUUUACCAAAACACAAAUUAUUUUUUUUCAAAAAUACUUAUCUGAAAAGCUAUUUUAUAAAAGUGCUUCUCAAAUAAGCAGUUUUUUAACAGCAAUCCCAAACGGGUUCUUUCUUCACUCUAUAAAGAUCUAGUGUUAUGUGCAUACAAAUCCAUCCUUUACUGUGGUCUGAGCUCUUCUUUUGGAAGGAAGACACAGUCGUAGUUAUGNNNNNNNNNNNNNNNNNNNNNNNNNNNNNNNNNCACAUUAAAACCCCCCCCCCCCCCCCCCCAAAAAAAAAUAAAAGACUAACCCUUGAGACUAACAGCAGCCCUUUAUCACUUCUCUCUUUGCCACUCAAAUCCUAAACCUUAUAGUUGGAAGUUCAUAGUCCUUACCCACUACCACUAGGCUAUUCCUGUUGUAAUUACUAACUACUACUGUAAGACUAAUCUUAGGAAAUCAAGGAAAAUAUCAGCUAUGCAGUUUUUACGUCUGAAUCUGAGAUCCGGGGGGGGGGAUAGAUAGAGACGGGUAGAGCUAGACUGAUAAGGAAAAGUAACGGCACUCCCAACAGAAUGAGAAAGUGCUCCCUUACUAGUACAGAAGAGAACAAUACUAUCAAGGAUUUCUUCGCAGGUCCUUCUUAUGAGUGAAAUACUACUUCAAAGAAGAGGUAAGGUUUCUUGGCAGGUUCUAGCUAAAAAGCAUAGUGUGCAUUAUUCUGUACUCCCUUUCAAACUAAUUCUCGAUGAAGCCUCCAAAACUUCUUCAAGCAUGCUUCUCAGAUAGUAGAGAACUCCCACCCACCUUCAACUCCCAUCUCAACAAUCAAAUAUGGCGGCAUCAGUUCUUUAUACAUGAACCAAGAAAGACACAACAUUCAACUACAGACUAUUAACAAAGGCUCAUAAUCACUUCAAAUUAGUCCUGUGCUUCCUCAGAAGUAUAAUAUACGUGUGAAUACUUGUGUAGUUUCUAACAAUGAGAAUACCUUUCCAAGAUGAUACACUAAACUAAUCAAGCAACAGAUCUCAUUUAUCCAUUGAUUCAGUCCUACUGGUUAUCUACAGAAAAGAGAAGAUUUACAUUCCUCCUAUGAGAAACAGGAGAGAAAUCCUACAAACAUCAAAAUGAACUUAACCAAUGAAAGCAACAAAUUAAACAGAGUAAAACUGAAUAUAACUUAGUUAGGACAAAACUGGAGUAUGUGGAGGAGUUAUACGUGAGCCUUCUAUUACUCUAAAGAGUCACUUGUUUCUACUUUUGGGAAGAGAAACAUCUCCUUCUGACUUUGAAGCCUUUUUUAUUGUUUCUGUCUAAUUUCUUAUUGAAUGUUGAGUCUACCCAUACCUUCCCCAUUUCAAGGUCUUACGAAGGAAUGAGAGAGAAGCUUGUUCAAACCCGAAACAGCUUAUUACAUGGUCAUGCCAUGGAACAGCUUCCAAUGUAAUGCAAAAGCUAUUUAUGAAUGUGACCUAAACCUACACAUUAUUAGGUCCAGAUUGACCAUCUGAGGGACAUUAAAGAGAAAUCUAGAACAAGAACAGAUCUACCAUUCAAUCAAAUUUCAACUAUCAACUUAUGACGCAACGGGUGUUCUCCUCAUGACCAACUGAAUGUGAAGUAACUAAAAAGGUAGGCAAGUUGGGUAAAAAGAUCUACAGUUUAUAUUCAAAAACUAAUAAACUAUGUAUAGAAUGAACCAUCGAAAAUUCACUAUUCAUCUCGACCAAGCAACUCACAAGAUAAAGAGUCUAUAACAAGAUAUUUUGAAAGAGACCUUUGGGUUUAGGAACUAGGUGUGGACUCCAUAUAUACCCAUAUGGCACAUCUGGAUGAUAACUGUUGGAGUUGCUCAAAUAAGUUACUGGCCUUAACUUCAGCUUUUUCUUCCUAAAGUCAUUUAUCACAUCCCGAAUCCCUAGCCAGAUCAGUCCAUCAACGACUUGAUAUGAUAGCUGCACAAGGCAUUCAGAAAUUAGACAUAAAUGAAACAAACGAAACAUCAAGUGAAGUCGAAAUGCUAAAGAAAAUGAAUGUCAUCGAACACUCACUCUAUAACCAACUGACUGCUUGACACGAGAGAGAGGAUGUGGAAACUCGCUAGUAGGCCUGCCAACAUAUGACAGCAGGAAACUUCAGAAAUGUUGCAUGUUACAAGAAAUUCCAUAAUCCUAGUCAGAUAUAAAGAGAAAGAAUUGCAAAAGAAACCCGAGGAAAAAAUCUAUAUUUAAAAUAGACCACUUACGUCCAUGGCAUUGUGAAAAAUAUAUGCAAUGGUACUUUCAGGGCCUCUGCUACAUGCAUAUGUCCUUAACAACAUCAAGGCAACGGAUUAGUUAAAUCACACAACUAUGUGGGGAAUUUUACUUGAUCUAACAAAGCAUCAAUAGUAGUACUCUUGAAUCAAAAUCUAUUCCAACUAAAUAAAAAAGAUGAUUUAAAUAAACAGAACUUCUUCCAGAUGCCAGCAAUACUGUUAGGAAGCACCUGUGACGAGUCAACUGUGUAACAACCAAGGAAUACAGAUCCAAAUGUCAAAUUCCUUUACUUUGUAAAACUAAUGUCUCAUUUAAAUAGAACAUCAGCAAGGGCGGAAGGUAUAAAUAUUAAGAUGCAGAAUUUUCCAUGCAGCAAUCGACUGACUGACUUUAAGUAUGAGCAAUGUGCCAAUGCUAUCCAAAUCUAAACUUUGAUUUAAAAAAAAUUUCAGCACUUCCUAUGUGGCUAGUGCAAACUGACAUUCCAAGAAACUGUAAAGACACAUUAUGUUAUGAUCUUUUGAGGAAGGAUCGAUUCACAGGGCGAUAUAUAUAAAUUUAGCUCAUUAAAGGGAGGCUGAAACCUUAGAGUUCAAUAGAAGAGAGAAUUAUGUUCUCUUCAGCUCGUUAAAGGAAGGCUGAAACCUUAGAGUUCAAUGGAAGAGAGAACCCCAAUCUCUUGCUUUUUACUGAAAUACGACUUAUUAAUUUAUUCUUCAAAAACUCCUUUAAAUAGGAGUCAUAUCACAUCAAUAAAGUCUAAUCCUAAUGAAAGUAGGAAACACAAAAUCUUAUUCUACAAUAAUAAAUAAAGUUACUUAAAAUAUAAAUAAGUGAUAAAUAAAAUUACUUAAAAUAAUAAUUAAAUAAUUAAUUAAUUGACUUUCACUCAUCCACAACAUUACUCCCCUCAAGUCCUCAAGCUCAAAUUUCAGGAAAGUCAUCUAGAAAAUAUGAAAUAGUAUCAACUUAAUUAUUAAUUCCAACCCUAGCAACUUUUCUUGAAGUUGAUAUUGGUAAAUGUCAACUCUAUCAAUUUGCUGAAGCGUGACUAAUUCGCCCAUCACGUUGCUACUUUCAGGAGAUCCAACUUGAUCCAACUUGCUGGAAACAACAUUUUUGAAAUUCUUCCCAACUCAUUGGGCCUUUUGCUCGUUUAAGCUGAUAAUAGCAUAAUUGUGCUUCUCCGAACAUGUGAAACCCAACCACUUCAACUUUUACCGCUUCCGUUGUAUGUUGAUUUUCAAAAAAUUGUUCCCAACAGUGUACCCAAAUUAAUGGGUCUUUGGUUUCGUCAUAAGUAAGAAAAUCCGUCUUUACAUACCUUGGUAUUGUCAAAUUGGAAUUACCGCUUGUUGGGUGAUUCUGAUUGGCCAGUUGAAUAGGCGGUGUAGUGCCUUUCGUAGCAGGAAUUGUUGAUUUGCCAGUCGUCGGGGCGCUACUCGACCCUGGUCUGUGGGUUUGCUGGUUUUGUGGAGCCAAUUCCCAAGCUAGAUAAUUGUUCUUGGAUGAUGACUUGGACAAUUUUUUUGCCAAGGCGUUGUUCCAUUGUUGCAAUUUUAAAAUUCAUUAGGGUUGCUGUAAUCACACGUUCUUUUUGGAAUCGGGAAUUAAUCUCAUCCGCCCAUUGUGUUAGUCUCUGAUAUCGAAUUGUUAGGAUCUAAAUUGUUAUGAUCUUUUGGGGAAGGAUGAGGGCUAUAUAUAAAUUCAGCUCAUUAAAGGGAGGUCGAAACCUUAGAGUUCAAUAGAAAAGAGAACUCUGAACUCUUCAGCUCGUUAAAGGGGAAACUAAAACCUUAGAGUUCAAUAGAAGAGAGAACUUCACUAUCUUGCUUUUUGCUGAAACACGACUUAUUGAAUUAUUCUUCAAAACCUUUAAAAGGAGUCAUAUUACAUCAAUAGUCUAAUCCUUAUGCAAGUAGGAAAAAUAAAACCCCAUUCUAGAAAAUCUAAUCCUGAUGAAAGUAGGAAACAUAAAAACUUAUUCUAGAAUAAUAAAUAAAGUUACUUACAAUAUAAAUAAGUAAUAAAUAAAAUUACUUAAAAUAUUAAUUAAAUACUUAAUUAUUUGACUUCCACACAUCCACAACACAUUAGUUAGUAAUAAGGUUAUGAUAGUACUACUUGUCACGAACCAACCAUUGGCAUGGAGUAAGAUAACUACUAAGAGUGGAAAUGUCUUCACAGUUUCGAUCACUACUACCAGCGUCAGCAUACAGUGCCAAAAUCCAAUCUUCAGCAAAAUAUGCAGAAAAAUUAGAGUGGCACUACCUUGACUGCAAGAGUUCAAAUGGAAACAGAAGAUCUGAAAACUCUCUUAUAGGGUGCCAUCAGGACUUUUUUUCCUUGUUUCAAAGUUUAAGCCAUAUGGAGAAGUAAAGUGUAGAUAAAAUCAAAUAAUUGCUGAUGCAUUGACCAGAAGAAGAGGAAUCAGUGUAUCUGAAACUUUGAAUCUCAUAUACUGUGUUCUGUGUUUGUGCUUGCUUUUACGAAAACACACGGUUAUAAAUGUAUGGAGUAUAUUUUUUGACAACAUGAGUCGUUCAAAAGUUAAAGAACCAAUCCUUUUGAUGUAAACAAGGGAAAGAUGGGAAUGGUGAUGUACAUUUUUUAUUAGCAACAAAGUGAAGGUAAAACUUACAACGCAAGCAACCUCAUCAAAUCAUGAAUAGUUCAGAUUAUAAUUCAUCAAACUGAUAGUCUUACCAUAUGCAGGAGGAUUGGCAAUAAUGGCGUUUACUUUGAAUGGAACAUUUGACUCCGGAUCGGGAUCUAUGCAUGCAGGUAAUAAGGAGAAUACAAUAUCUUUAAUCUGAUUCCGUUGAAUAAGUAUUUCCGAAGGUCCAGAUGGCAAAAACCCUUUAUUCUUUACCAUGUCUGCAAAAACAUAUAUGCACUGAUCAGCUUUGACUAAAACGAAAUAUGAGAAAUGUGACACAAUAAAGAAGGCAGUGGAUAAGGUUUUCAGUGAUGCUCACAUGCAGCAAGAACUUUUGGAUCUCCACCUAGAGGAUAAAAUUCCAAUCCAGCACCCAAUACAAACUCCUUAAAAUUGGCAUGAGUUGCUAGUCUCACCCUAUGACCAUUUUCCUGCAAAAGAAAUUCCCACUUUCAAGCAACAAUAUGCCUCUUAGUUGACUUCAAAAUUAACUGGAAUAAUUAUCAAAGGCUCGUCCAGCAAAUGCUAUGGAUGCUACAACAACAACAAACCCAGUGUAUUCCCACCUAGUGGGGUCUGGGGGGGUAAGAUGUACUCAGUCCAUACCUCUACCUCUGAUGAAGUAGAAAGGCUGUUUCCGAUAGACCCCCGGCUCAAGACACGAGAUACCACACAAAUACAUAGUAAAGCACAGAAGCAGAUUACAUAACAUAAAUACGGCACCCAUAAGUAAUAUAAAACAGAGGAAAGCAAAGGAAAGCACACAGAUUCGUAAUAAAACAUGGAACACGGAAGACGGAAUCAUAACAGGAAUAAAACCCCCUCCAAGUANNNNNNNNNNNNNNNNNNNNNNNNNNNNNNNNNNNNNNNNNNNNNNNNNNNNNNNNNNNNCCUACACUAGCGACCCAAACUGGCCCUAAUCCUCUGCCGAAAUUCGCGCCCUCCAGACCUUCUUAUCUAGGGUCAUGUCCUCGGUGAGCUGUAACUGUUCCAUGUCCCGCCUAAUCACCUCACCCCAGUACUUCUUCGGCCUACCCCUACCCCGCCUAAAACCAUCCAGCGCUAGCCUCUCCCACCUACGGACCGGGGCAUCCAUGCCCCUCCUCUUCACGUGUCCGAACCAUCUCAAUCGUGCUUCCCGCAUCUUGCACUCCACUGAAGUCACACCAACCUUCUCCCGAAUAGUCUCAUUCCGAACUCUAUCCCCUCUAGUCAGUCCACACAUCCAGCGCAACAUCCGCAUUUCUGCCACCUUCAUUUUCUGGAUGUAGGAGUUCUUAACUGGCCAACACUCCGCUCCAUACAACAAGGCCGGACGGACUACCACCCUGUAGAAUUUGCCUUUAAGCUUGGGCGGCACCUUCUUAUCACACGUCACCCCCGACGCGAGUUUCCACUUCAUCCAUCCCGCCCCAAUACGAUGCGAGACAUAGCAAAUGCUAUGGAUGCUAUUUCCUAAAUAUUAUUGCACACUUACAUUGUAAAAGACGGAUGACAUGUAUCAUCCAGAAAUUCAUGGAUAGUAAAGAUGUAUAUAAGUUCUAACUAAUAG
RNAcentral lists this long non-coding RNA (13586 nucleotides) under Capsicum annuum. RNAcentral describes it as "long non-coding RNA (CANN_LNC019320)". Lineage: Eukaryota; Viridiplantae; Streptophyta; Magnoliopsida; Solanales; Solanaceae. The record is from RNAcentral.